RNAcentral lists this transfer RNA (72 nucleotides) under Rhizoctonia solani. Its description in RNAcentral is "tRNA-Gly". It matches the Rfam family "tRNA". Rfam says of the family: Transfer RNA (tRNA) molecules are approximately 80 nucleotides in length. Lineage: Eukaryota; Fungi; Basidiomycota; Agaricomycetes; Cantharellales; Ceratobasidiaceae. The record is from RNAcentral.
GCGUGGGUAGUAUAAUGGUUAUUAUCUCGGUUUCCCAUACCGAGGAACCGGGUUCGAUUCCCGGCCCUCGCA